AUAUUUAAGAACUAUACGAUAAAUCUUCUCUUUAUCGUACACUAGCAUAGUUCUAAGGACUUCAUCACAACACAAGAGUUAAAGGAAGAUAUUACUUUGUGAUGAAAAAUACCAAAAUAAUUUUAUUUAUUAAUCAAUAACUCAUAUACAAAGAGGAACUCAAUCGUCAUACAAUUGAUUUUAGGACAUAAUUUUCAACAAUUCUAACUUGGACUACAGCC
RNAcentral lists this long non-coding RNA (221 nucleotides) under Elaeis guineensis (African oil palm). RNAcentral's name for it is "long non-coding RNA (EGUI_LNC065409)". The record is from RNAcentral. Lineage: Eukaryota; Viridiplantae; Streptophyta; Magnoliopsida; Arecales; Arecaceae.